CCCGAAACCAGGUGAGCUACCCCGAGACAGCCUAUGUUCAUUUAGGGCUAACCCGUCUCUGUGGCAAAAGAGUGGGAAGAGCUCCGGGUAGAAGUGACAGACCUACCGAACCUGGUGAUAGCUGGUUGCCUGAGAAGUGGAUAGAAGUUCAGCCUCAUACGCCCCGAGCCAAAGAAUACAACGCUAAGGUGUUCAGGGAAAGAUAUGAGAGUUAGUUAAAGGGGGUACAGCCCCUUUAACAAAGGAUACAACCUUCGCAGGAGGAUAAAGAUCAUAAUAUAUAAAACACGCUGUUCUAGUGGGCCUAAAGGCAGCCACCUAAACAGAAAGCGUUAAAGCUCAGACAGAAAGAAGUUUAUUAUACCGAUAAAAAAUCUUACUCCCCUAAUUAUAUCAGGCCAACCCAUGCCUCCAUGGAAGAGAUUAUGCUAAAAUGAGUAACAAGAAGAUCUGAUCUUCUCCCAGCACAAGUGUAAACCAGAUCGGACCAACCACUGGAACUUAACGAACCCAACCCAAGAGGGUAGUGUGAACAAUACAGACCCCAGGAAGAACUCACAGCUAAACAAUCGUUAACCCCACACUGGAGUGCUAUUUUAAGGGAAAGACUAAAAGAGAGGGAAGGAACUCGGCAAACACAAGCCUCGCCUGUUUACCAAAAACAUCGCCUCCUGCAACUAUUAUCGAGUAUAGGAGGUCCAGCCUGCCCAGUGACUACGGGUUCAACGGCCGCGGUAUUUUGACCGUGCAAAGGUAGCGCAAUCACUUGUCUCUUAAAUAGAGACCUGUAUGAAUGGCUAGACGAGGGCUUAACUGUCUCCCCCCUCCGGUCAGUGAAAUUGAUCUAUCCGUGCAGAAGCGGGUAUAAUUAUACAAGACGAGAAGACCCUUUGGAGCUUAAGGUACAAAAUUCAACCACGUUAAACGACUCCACAAAAAGCAAGAACUUAGUGGCCAGUGAAAUUUUACCUUCGGUUGGGGCGACCACGGAGGAGAAAAGAGCCUCCGAGUGGACUGGGCUAAAUUCCCAAAGCCAAGAGAUACAUCUAUAAGCCGCAGAACAUCUGACCAAGAAUGAUCCGGCUGAAAAGCCGAUCAACGAACCAAGUUACCCUAGGGAUAACAGCGCAAUCCUCUCCCAGAGUCCAUAUCGACGAGGGGGUUUACGACCUCGAUGUUGGAUCAGGACAUCCUAAUGGUGC
This 1202-nucleotide ribosomal RNA is filed under the name Leuciscus waleckii (Amur ide). RNAcentral's name for it is "partial 16S ribosomal RNA". It matches the Rfam family "Bacterial large subunit ribosomal RNA", at positions 714 to 2556 of the family's 2925-position model. Lineage: Eukaryota; Metazoa; Chordata; Actinopteri; Cypriniformes; Leuciscidae. The record is from RNAcentral.